UAAAUAGGAUUGCCCAACCGUACUGCAAG
Molecule: small RNA, 29 nt
Filed under: Bombyx mori (domestic silkworm)
Lineage: Eukaryota; Metazoa; Arthropoda; Insecta; Lepidoptera; Bombycidae
Description: ovarian small RNA-18445
Source: RNAcentral